UACGAAGGGGGCUAGCGUUGUUCGGAAUUACUGGGCGUAAAGCGCACGUAGGCGGAUUGUUAAGUUAGGGGUGAAAUCCCAAGGGCUCAACCCUGGAACUGCCUUUAAUACUGGCAAUCUCGAGUCCGAGAGAGGUGAGUGGAAUUCCGAGGUGUAGAGGUGAAAUUCGUAGAUAUUACGGAAGAACACCAGUGCGAAGGCGGAACUUACCUGGACACAUAAUUGGACGCUGAGGUGCGAAAGCGAUGGGGGAGCAAAGCAGGG
This 264-nucleotide ribosomal RNA is filed under the name uncultured bacterium. RNAcentral's name for it is "partial 16S ribosomal RNA". It matches the Rfam family "Bacterial small subunit ribosomal RNA", at positions 524 to 778 of the family's 1533-position model. The record is from RNAcentral.